GUGAGUCGGGAAGAGGAAGAAAAGAGGGUCUAAGAGCAGUGGGCAUGGGAACAUGGAGGAAGAACAUGUACUUUUCUUCCCUCUAAAUUUAGAGGUUGAGAUUUGCUAAGCAUUUUUCCCAAUGCCUCCCAUGCCUACAGUUCUUAGGUACUCCUUCCCCUUCCUGUUGGCUUGC
This 175-nucleotide microRNA precursor is filed under the name Oryza sativa (Asian cultivated rice). RNAcentral's name for it is "miR2118r stem-loop (osa-MIR2118r)". It matches the Rfam family "MIR2118 microRNA precursor family". The record is from miRBase by way of RNAcentral. Lineage: Eukaryota; Viridiplantae; Streptophyta; Magnoliopsida; Poales; Poaceae.